Molecule: ribosomal RNA, 451 nt
Filed under: uncultured bacterium
Lineage: Bacteria
Description: bacterial SSU rRNA
Rfam family: Bacterial small subunit ribosomal RNA
Source: RNAcentral
GUAGGGAAUAUUGGACAAUGGGGGAAACCCUGAUCCAGCGACGCCGCGUGAGUGAUGAAGGCCUUCGGGUCGUAAAGCUCUGUCGGAGGGAAAGAAAUGUGAUGUGGCUAAUAUCCACGUUGCUUGACGGUACCCUCCAAGAAAGCACCGGCUAAUUCCGUGCCAGCAGCCGCGGUAAUACGGGGGGUGCAAGCGUUGUUCGGAAUCACUGGGCGUAAAGCGCAUGUAGGUGGUCGGGUAUGUCGGAUGUGAAAGCCCUUGGCUCAACCAAGGAAGUGCAUCCGAAACUGCCCAACUUGAGUAUGGGAGAGGGAAGUGGAAUUCCCAGUGUAGAGGUGAAAUUCGUAGAGAUUGGGAGGAACACCGGAGGCGAAAGCGGCUUCCUGGCCCAAUACUGACACUCAGAUGCGAAAGCGUGGGUAGCAAACAGGAUUAGAAACCCGAGUAGUCC